GAAGCUGGAAUCGCUAGUAAUCGCAGAUCAGAAUGCUGCGGUGAAUACGUUCCCGGGUCUUGUACACACCGCCCGUCACACCAUGGGAGCCGGGAAUGCCCGAAGUCGGUGACCCAACCGUAAGGAGGGAGCCGCCGAAGGCAGGCCUGGUAACUGGGGUGAAGUCGUAACAAGGUAUC
Molecule: ribosomal RNA, 179 nt
Filed under: uncultured bacterium
Lineage: Bacteria
Description: partial 16S ribosomal RNA
Rfam family: Bacterial small subunit ribosomal RNA
Source: RNAcentral